ACAUGCCUACAACAUAGCCCUAAUGAAUCGGAUCCCAUUAGAACUCCGUAGUUAAGCACACUUGGGCUAGAGUAGUAUUGGGAUGGGUGACCGCCUGGGAAGUCCUAGUGUUUUACAUGCC
Molecule: non-coding RNA, 121 nt
Organism: Picea glauca (white spruce)
Lineage: Eukaryota; Viridiplantae; Streptophyta; Pinopsida; Pinales; Pinaceae
Source: Rfam